GAAUGAACGCUGGCGGCGUGCUUAACACAUGCAAGUCGAACGAGAAAGGGAUUGCUUGCAAUCCUGAGUAGAGUGGCGCACGGGUGAGUAACACGUAGAUAAUCUACCUUCGAUUUUGGGAUAACCAUCCGAAAGGAUGGCUAAUACCGGAUAAGGUUUUAAUACACAAGUAUAAAGAUGAAAGUAUGCCUCUUCUUGAAAGCAUAUGAUUGGAGAUGAGUCUGCGGACCAUUAGUUUGUUGGUAGGGUAAUGGCCUACCAAGACUACGAUGGUUAGCUGGUCUGAGAGGAUGAUCAGUCACACUGGAACUGGAACACGGUCCAGACUCCUACGGGAGGCAGCAGUGAGGAAUUUUGCGCAAUGGGGGAAACCCUGACGCAGCAACGCCGCGUGAGUGAAGAAGGCCUUUGGGUCGUAAAGCUCUGUCAACUGGGAAGAAAUUAUAACUAUCCAAUAGGUAGUUGUAUUGACGGUACCAGUGGAGGAAGCGCCGGCUAACUCCGUGCCAGCAGCCGCGGUAACACGGGGGGCGCAAGCGUUAUUCGGAAUUAUUGGGCGUAAAGGGCGUGUAGGCGGUCUUAUCGGUCAGAUGUGAAAGCCCAGGGCUCAACCCUGGACGUGCAUUUGAAACAGUAAGACUUGAGUACUGGAGAGGAAAGCGGAAUUCCUGGUGUAGAGGUGAAAUUCGUAGAUAUCA
RNAcentral lists this ribosomal RNA (698 nucleotides) under uncultured bacterium. Its description in RNAcentral is "bacterial SSU rRNA". It matches the Rfam family "Bacterial small subunit ribosomal RNA", at positions 27 to 699 of the family's 1533-position model. The record is from RNAcentral.